This 429-nucleotide ribosomal RNA is filed under the name Gemmatimonadota bacterium. Its description in RNAcentral is "Gemmatimonadetes bacterium partial 16S ribosomal RNA". It matches the Rfam family "Bacterial small subunit ribosomal RNA", at positions 355 to 776 of the family's 1533-position model. The record is from RNAcentral. Lineage: Bacteria; Pseudomonadati; Gemmatimonadota.
UAGGGAAUUUUCGGCAAUGGACGAAAGUCUGACCGAGCAACGCCGCGUGAGUGAAGAAGGUUUUCGGAUCGUAAAACUCUGUUGUUAGAGAAGAACAAGGACGUUAGUAACUGAACGUCCCCUGACGGUAUCUAACCAGAAAGCCACGGCUAACUACGUGCCAGCAGCCGCGGUAAUACGUAGGUGGCAAGCGUUGUCCGGCUUUAUUGGGCGCAAAGCGAGCGCAGGCGGUGUCUUAAGUCUGAUGUGAAAGCACCCGGCUCAACCGGAGAAGGGAAGUGGAAACUGGGAGACUAGAGUGCAGAAGAGGAGAGUGGAAUUCCAUGUGUAGCGGUGAAAUGCGUAGAUAUAUGGAGGAACACCGGUGGCGAAGGCGGAUCACUGGUCUGUAACUGACACUGAGGGUCGAAAGCGUGGGGAGCGAACAGG